This 75-nucleotide transfer RNA is filed under the name Acidobacteriota bacterium. Its description in RNAcentral is "Acidobacteria bacterium tRNA-Val". It matches the Rfam family "tRNA". From Rfam's summary of the family: Transfer RNA (tRNA) molecules are approximately 80 nucleotides in length. Their secondary structure includes four short double-helical elements and three loops (D, anti-codon, and T loops). Further hydrogen bonds mediate the characteristic L-shaped molecular structure. tRNAs have two regions of fundamental functional importance: the anti-codon, which is responsible for specific mRNA codon recognition, and the 3' end, to which the tRNAs corresponding amino acid is attached (by aminoacyl-tRNA synthetases). tRNAs cope with the degeneracy of the genetic code in two manners: having more than one tRNA (with a specific anti-codon) for a particular amino acid; and 'wobble' base-pairing, i.e. permitting non-standard base-pairing at the 3rd anti-codon position. The record is from RNAcentral. Lineage: Bacteria; Pseudomonadati; Acidobacteriota. RNAcentral also lists the same sequence under 1 other name.
GGGCGGUUAGCUCAGCGGUAGAGCACCGGCUUUACACGCCGGCUGUCGGGGGUUCGAAACCCUCACCGCCCACCA